CAGUAGCCGCGGUAAUACGGAGGGUGCAAGCGUUAAUCGGAAUUACUGGGCGUAAAGCGCACGCAGGCGGUCUGACAAGUCAGAUGUGAAAUCCCCGGGCUUAACCUGGGAACUGCAUUUGAAACUGUCAGGCUGGAGUCUUGUAGAGGGGGGUGGAAUUCCAGGUGUAGCGGUGAAAUGCGUAGAGAUCUGGAGGAAUACCGGUGGCGAAGGCGGCCAUCUGGGACAACACUGACGCUGAGGCACGAAAGCGUGGGGAGCAAACAGGAUUAGAUACCCCAGUAGUCCUGUCUCUUAUACA
RNAcentral lists this ribosomal RNA (301 nucleotides) under uncultured bacterium. Its description in RNAcentral is "partial 16S ribosomal RNA". It matches the Rfam family "Bacterial small subunit ribosomal RNA", at positions 509 to 809 of the family's 1533-position model. The record is from RNAcentral.